UUAUCUUGGCAGAUUAGUGCUUUAAAUUUAGAAUUUAAAUAUGUAUUAUUUAUAUACAGGUAACAA
RNAcentral lists this transfer RNA (66 nucleotides) under Apiencya sp. BMNH 671495. Its description in RNAcentral is "tRNA-Leu". Lineage: Eukaryota; Metazoa; Arthropoda; Insecta; Coleoptera; Scarabaeidae. The record is from RNAcentral.